RNAcentral lists this unclassified non-coding RNA (282 nucleotides) under Hevea brasiliensis (rubber tree). Lineage: Eukaryota; Viridiplantae; Streptophyta; Magnoliopsida; Malpighiales; Euphorbiaceae. The record is from RNAcentral.
GGGAGAGUGGGACUCAAACCUAAGUGAGUUAUAUACGACUUCUGCCACUGGAUCAAGCCAAGCUAGGCUUUCAUGGAUAUUCCUUAGUGAAACUCAGAUGUGCAUUAUUUUCUUUGGAUGUGCAUUCAUGAUUGAGAUUCCAGUCUUUAGUCAGAAUCCUUUGCUUUCAUUUUCAUUAGUAAGUGGAGAAGGUCAAAAUUGAACUGAUCCUUGAAAAAUACAUUAUGCAGUAAUCUAUAUUGUUUGAAUCAGUUUAUGAUGAUCUUGUGUUAAUGAUUUUUC